GGUGUAGCUCAGUGGCAGAGCACUUGUUUAGUAUGCAUAAGGACCUGGGUUCAUUCCCCAGCACC
Molecule: transfer RNA, 65 nt
Filed under: Urocitellus parryii (Arctic ground squirrel)
Lineage: Eukaryota; Metazoa; Chordata; Mammalia; Rodentia; Sciuridae
Also listed under: 1 other name
Description: Spermophilus parryii (Arctic ground squirrel) tRNA
Rfam family: tRNA
About the family: Transfer RNA (tRNA) molecules are approximately 80 nucleotides in length. Their secondary structure includes four short double-helical elements and three loops (D, anti-codon, and T loops).
Source: Rfam by way of RNAcentral